GCAGUGGUGGUUCAGUGGUAGAAUUCUCACCUUCCAUGUUGGAGACCCAGGUUCGAGUCCCAGCCAGUCCA
This 71-nucleotide transfer RNA is filed under the name Loxodonta africana (African savanna elephant). It matches the Rfam family "tRNA". Rfam says of the family: Transfer RNA (tRNA) molecules are approximately 80 nucleotides in length. Their secondary structure includes four short double-helical elements and three loops (D, anti-codon, and T loops). Further hydrogen bonds mediate the characteristic L-shaped molecular structure. tRNAs have two regions of fundamental functional importance: the anti-codon, which is responsible for specific mRNA codon recognition, and the 3' end, to which the tRNAs corresponding amino acid is attached (by aminoacyl-tRNA synthetases). tRNAs cope with the degeneracy of the genetic code in two manners: having more than one tRNA (with a specific anti-codon) for a particular amino acid; and 'wobble' base-pairing, i.e. permitting non-standard base-pairing at the 3rd anti-codon position. Lineage: Eukaryota; Metazoa; Chordata; Mammalia; Proboscidea; Elephantidae. The record is from Rfam by way of RNAcentral.